Long non-coding RNA from Orcinus orca (killer whale), 7344 nucleotides. RefSeq lists it as uncharacterized. The transcript is spliced from 2 exons. Lineage: Eukaryota; Metazoa; Chordata; Mammalia; Artiodactyla; Delphinidae. The record is from RefSeq and is a predicted model, not a curated record.
UAUAUAUAUAUAUAUAAUGGAAUAUUAGUCAUAAAAGAGUGAAAUAUUGCCAUGUACAGCAACAUGGACCUAGAGAAUAUUAUGCUUAGUGAAAUAAGUCAGACAGAGAAAGAUAAAUAUUAUAUGAUAUCACUUAAAUGUGGAAUCUAAAAAAUAAUACAAAUGAAUUUAUUUACAAAACAGAAACAGGGGCUUCCCUGGUGGCGUAGUGGUUAAGAAUCCGCCUGCCAAUGCAGGGGACAUGGGUUCGAGCCAUGGUCCGGGAAGAUCCCACAUGCCGCGGAGCAACUAAGUCACAACUACUGAGCCUGAACUCCAGAGCCUGCGAGCCACAACUCCUGAAGCCCGGGCACCUAGAGCCCAUGCUCCGCAACAAGAGAAGCCACCGCAAUGAGAAGCCCGCGCACGGCAACAAAGAGUAGCCCCUGCUCACAGCAACUAGAGAAAGCCUGCGUGCAGCAACAAAGACCCAGUGCAGCCAAAAAUUAAAAAAUUAAAUAAAUUAAAGAAGAAAAACAAACGGAAACAGACCCACAGACGCGGAAAACAAAUUUAUGGUUACCAAAGGGGAGGGGGGCAGAUAAAUUAGGAGUAUGGGAUUAACAGAUACACACCACUAUAUAUAAAAUAGAUAAACAAUAGGACCUACUGUGUAGCACAGGGAACUAUAUUCAAUAUCUUGGAAUAACCUUUAACGGAAAAAAAUCUGAAAAAAAUGUAUAACUGAAUCACUUUGCUGUAUAUGUGAAUCUAACACAAUACUGUAAAUCAACUAUACUUCAAUUGAAAAAAAAAGAGAGAGAGAAAGAAAUGUAACUCUAAAAGAUAUGCAGUUUUCUACUGUGUAAUUUUUUUUUAAUUAUUUAUUUAUUUAUUUAUUAUUUUUUGGCUGCACUGCGUGGCAUGUGGGGAUCUUAGUUCCCCGACCAGGGAUCAAACCCGCAUUCUCUGCAUUGGAAGUGUGGAGUCUCAACCACUGAACCACCAGGGAAGUUCCUCUACUGUGUAAUUUUUUUUUUUUUUUUUUUGCGGUACGCGGGCCUCUCACUGUUGUGACCUCUCCCGUUGCGGAGCACAGGCUCCGGACGCGCAGGCUCAGCGGCCAUGGCUCAUGGGCCUAGCCUCUCCGCAGAAUGUGGGAUCUUCCCAGACCGGGGCACGAACCUGCAUCCCCUGCAUCGGCAGGCGGACUCUCAACCACUGAGCCACCAGGGAAGCCCUCUACUGUGUAAUUUUAAUUCUCAUGUAGAACACACCGAGUUCAGACUCUGUUACAAGGCAUUGCAGUAAACACAACAGAUCUGAAUGUAAAUGAAAUAACAUGCUUCUGAAUUUUCAUGAAGAUUUUAUUAAAGCCUAAAUUUCAUACCAAUAUUCUUACAUAUGCAUUAUUUUCAUAUGAUGGAAAGUACUGUAUAUACAAUGAAAAGGAAAUCUUUUGCCUAGCCCUGACUCCUGUCUCUGGGUUCCCCUACCCAGGGAUGACAACUAGUCCCAGUUUCUUAUCUAUCCUUUCAGAGAUAUUUAAUGCAUUUUUCUGCUAUAAGAAAGCAAAACUUCAAUACACAUUAUUUUAUUUGAUCCUUACAAAAAUUCUGUAAGGUAGACAGAAGAGGUUUUCUUCCCGAUCACAGAAAUGAAAAUGCAGGCUCAGAGAAGUAAAUCAAUUAUUAUAACUCUGUUCUAUAGCUAAUAAUUUGAUCACAUAAUCAGGUCUUUAUUAAGCACCUCUUGAAUCCAGGCACUGGGCUGAGGGAUAGAGAUAGGAUGCCACGUUCAAAUGCAUUAUACCUCAAUGUUGUUUCUAUUACUUGGAGUGGUUCUUGAAUGCUUCAGUGCAAAAGACUGAACGUUUUAAAAUUUGGGGGAGGUUUUCAUACAAUGUAAGCAUGAUUAAUAGAGAAAUCUUAAUUCAUGAGUAUAAUAUACCCAGCACUAUUCUGCAAGAGCUGAGGCCGGAGGAAAGAGAAAAGUAAAUGUUGGCUUUUCUAACUAUAGUAUUUGCCUGCCUAGGCAUCUGGGUUUUCAUUUUAAAGAUCUCUUAGGAAACCCCAACUGUUACAAGGAAGUGUUGCUUUUGGUUUAAUGUUUAUCCUGCUAGCGCACUCCACCCUUAAAUGAUCUUAGUGACUAAUAGGACUGGAACCGGUUCUCAUUUACCAGAUGCAAAUUCCACUUACCAGCUUGUUUUUUGUGCCUUCUGCUGAUUUGCGGUCAUAGGCAAAACUAGACUAAAGAACUUCUUAAGAUAAAUGAGAAUGGGCAACGAUGCAGUUGGUCUUUAAUUUUGAAAUUGGCCUGGCACAGUGGCCUCACCUAAAAGUCAUAGGGUCAGUCGGUCUGUCGGUUGGUCUUCUGUUCCCUGACAGUUAGAGGGUCCUCCCUGGCCACCCGCAGUGACUCAGAAGGCAGCUGCAGAGAACAGGAAGGCCUGAGAUUCAUGUGACAAACCAUCGGCCUUCACCAGGGCCAACAAAGCAGCUCUGAAUUUUCUCCUUGACCUAGUUUCAUCUGUGGAAAAAUUCUGUCCGAAAGGGACUGCUGAGAUGUUGUCUGGGCCUGCAUCCCUGAAGAAGGCCGACAAUCUGUUUGCACACAAAGAAUGGAAAAAAUGUUUCCGUGCUUUAAAGAUUACUGAACACACUCUUUCCAAAAUGAAUCAAUUCCUUCCAGCAGGGAUCAUUUUCACUAAUCGGGAAAACAAAGCUGUCCAUAUUCAGUAGCCAACCUCUUGAUUUCAAAAGAGACCACAUGUCCUGAUAGUUUUUUGCAGUUUUUCUUGGCCAGGUUUAAGUCAUUGUUUCCCAGAGUGUGGCCUGAGGGCCACCUACAUUAGAAUCACGAAGGUUAAGGAAUCAUUAUCGCUAGAGAAGGAUCCAGUAAUCUAUCAUUUUUUAACAAGCACUGCAACUCAUUUUUAUGCACGAAAUUAACUCAGCUAAAUCAAAGUUCACAAGCCUUCACUGGUAACAUCAAAUGAGACAGUCCUGGGGAAGAGGGUUGUUAAUACCUCCCCUGUUCUUACCUCUCUAUUUCCCCCUAUCCCUGCCAAAAUGCCAUUUCUGAUAAUAUUGCAUGGUCACUAUAGAAGGAAAUAGAGGAACGAAGAGCUAAGGAACCAGCAGUAUUCUCACUCGAUUGUGCUGGUGUAGGAAUAUUUCUGUCAACUUAAGAAAAACCUCAUAAUCUAAAAGUUGUGAGUUAAGUUUUAUUCCAGGACCUUACUGAAGACUAUAGCCUGGGAGACAACCUCUCAGAUAGCUCUCAGGAACUGCUCUGAAGUGGUAAGAGAGGAGCCAGGAUAUUUAGGAGGAUUUUUGCUGGAAAAAAAAACCAUGUAGUUGAACAUCAAAAGAUUACUGCUAAUCACAAAGAACAGACAUCUCAAGUUAAUGAUUUUAGUGCUUUUCUAUGAAUCUAUGUAUGGGAAGAUGCAAGCAUCUGGGUUCAUUGAAAUUAUUUCUUAGAUAUGCAUCUUAACUAAGUCCAGUAUCCAAAGCACAGAAUGCUUCCUGUUUUUCUCUAUCCUGAAUUCCCCUCAGGGCGCACUGUCCUUGGUAGGUGGCUGAAGUGGCUGAUGGCCUGAUCCUUGUAGAACUGGGAUGGUAAGCAACAUUUUAUGUUUACUGGAAUGGUAGACAACAUUCCCUGUCCACAGUUCCCUGGCCUGUGCUGGGAAUGUGAGAGGUCAGAUUCCCAAGGUGGCCAAACAGGAGAAAAAGAAGACAAGCAGUACAUCCAGCACUUUGUCUAUGUUGUGCCCACCUUUGGCAAGAAGAAGGGCUCCAAUGCCAGUUCAAGUCCUUUGUAAUCUUGGUGUUCUCUAAUAAAGCCCCUUAGUCCAGUCAAAGAAAAUGAAUGAUUUCACAAAUGCCUUAAAAAUAGGCAUUUCUAAAAGGACUAAUUUUAGAAAGCAAAGGACCAGAAUGCUUAAGAAUCGUCCACAAAGCCUGUUAAAAAAUGCAUAUCUGGGCUUCCCUGGUGGCGCAGUGGUUGCGAGUCCGCCUGCUGAUGCAGGGGACACGGGUUCGUGCCCCGGUCUGGGAAGAUCCCACAUGCCGCAGAGCGGCUGGGCCCGUGAGCCAUGGCCGCUGAGCCUGCGCGUCUGGAGCCUGUGCUCCGCAACGGGAGAGGCCACAACAGUGAGAGGCCUGCGUACUGCAAAAAAAAAAGCGAAUCUCCCCUUCUCCCUAUUCUAAUUAAGUACAUAAGGUGUGGGGUCCGGGAACCUGCAUUUACUAAAGCACCUAAAAUGAUUCUAAUGCAAACUGAUCUGAGGGCACAUUAGGAUAUCCCUUGUUUAAUUUCCUGGAGCAAAAAUAGACCGGAAAAGAAAGACAUUUGCAGUGUCCACAGGAGAUUUCAUAGCUAGAACAGCAGUUUUCAAAGUGUGGUCUCAGACCCAUGGAGUCUCUGAGAAUUUUCAGGAAGUUUGAAAGAUCAAAAAUGUUUUUAUAAUAAUACAAAGAUUUUACUUGCCUUUUUCCUGUGUUGACUUUUGCACCCAGUGUCCAAAAUCAAUGUUGGGUAAAACUGAUGGCCUAGGUAACCUAGUGAAUUUACUGAUAGAAAACAUAGGAAGAAUAGCCUAAGGGGAAGGGAAGACUUUGAUGUGGGAUGUAUUGAUUUUGAGGUGCCUGUUGGACAUCCAGAUGGAGAUGGUCUGUAGGCGUUUACGGAUCUGGAGCUCAGCAGAGAGUUCUGAACUGGACAUAUAUGCAAUGGAUAGUAAUUACUCUUUACAUACACCCUAAGUCUCCUGACUAGGUUAAAUCUCCAUGACAUUCCCUUUUUGUCCAAGGAUACACAGCCAGGGAUACACUUAUCUGUCUAUGUAACCUUGGGCAAGUUAAAAAAAACUCUCUGUUUCUCAAUUUUCUCAUCUAUAAAAUGAGGAUAAAGAACUUGUAUUAUAGGAGUGCUGUGAGGAUUAAAGAACUUAAUAGUGUUAAAUGCUAGGAAUAGUGCAUGGUACGCUUGAAAAUAAAAUACUGAAAAUGCAGACUGCUUUUUUCUAUUUGACCAUUAGAUGUCGCUCAAUAUCCAUGAAAUGUAAGAAACCAGCUGUGCAUUAUUAAGUUCCUGCUUGGUCCUCCAGGGCCUGCCCCGUCUCACUGUCUGAAUCUGCAGUUUGCUUAGUCAUGUACUGGUAUCUGUGCGUCAGUUGUCUUGCUGUAUAUAGCCAGAAAUCCCCUCAACCAUCCAGAAAAAUGUGUUAUGCAAAUGUCCUAAUUUUGCCAAUUAGGUCAGCAUACAGUAGUUGAGCCUUUGGUUUAUGACAUACCAGGAUGAAAGCACUCCGUGGCAGAAUUCCCACUCAUCUUUCAAGGUCCUGCUCGAAUGCCACCUCCUCUGUGGAACCUUAUCUGACCCUCUUCCUUAACCCAGAGCACUGCAGGAAAAUCUCUGUCACGAUACUUUUGUAUUGUGUUUGUUUACAAAUGUCUCCCCAAAUUCUAGAAAAGAUUCCAAAUCUCCUUCUUAAUAAAAGAACUGCACACUAAAACUACAAAGAAAAAGCCAUUUUCACGUAGGAGAUUGGCAGAUAUCCACAAAUUUGAUAAUAUAUUUGGUUUAGGGUAACAGGCAAUCCCAUACAUUCUUAGUGGAAGUGUACACUUGUUUAUACUUUCUGGAAGACAAUUUGGCAAUCUGUCAAAAUUUUAAACACAGCAAUUCUUUUUCUAGACGUUUUUACUAAAGGUGUAUAGUACUUGCACACAUGCACAAAUAUCAGUGUAAGGAGAUAUUCACUGCACGAUUGUUUGUGGUAGCAAAAGGCCAGAGGUGACCUAAAUGUCCAUCAACAGGCACUGGUUAACUUGUACAUCUUACAGUGAAUUACCAAGCAGCUGUUAAAAGAAGGGAGUAUGUUUAUAGGAACUGAUACAAAAUCAUCUGCAAGAUAUAUUAUUAGAAAAUUGCUAGGUGGGGAAAAGUGAAGAAGUUGUAACAGUUAACGUUUAUCGAGCACUUUAUUUAUUUGAUUUUUUUUUGGCCAUGCAGCAUGCAGGAUCUUAGUUCCCUGACCAGGGAUCAAACCCGUGCCCCCUGCACUGGGAGUGCAGAGUCUUAACCACUGGACCACCAAGGAAAUCCCUGUUGAGCACUUUAAAAUGGAGUUUCUCAUUUAAUCUUCAUAGAAACCCUCAGAGGUUGGAACUUAUCACCACGUUAUAGAUGAGGAAACAGAGCGAAGUUAAAUCAUGUGUCCAAAUUCUGGCUAUUGCUUGGAAGAAUUGUUACUUAAACCCCAGUAGCCUGGAUUUCAGAGCCCUUGCUCUUAAUCAGUGUACCACAUUUAUGUGCAGGGGAUAUAUAUAUAGGUGCCAUGUUUUCUAAAGGCAGGGUGUGUGUAUGCGCCACGUGGAUUCACAACAGCCUGUUGUGACUGCAUCCGGCAGGAGAACUGAGGGCCAAUGGAUCAAGAGUGGAAGGGAGAGUUUUUUCCCAUUCUACACAAGUGGUUCUCAGCCUUGGUUGCAUAUUAAAAUCACCUGGAGAACUUUUAAAACUACUGUUCCCUUUGCCCACUUUAGGUCAAUUAAGCGAGAAACUGGAAGAAGGGCCCUGUCACUGGCAUUGUUUUCAAAGCUUCCCAGGUGAUUCUAAUGUGAAGUUGGCAUUAAGAACCACUUUCUAAACCCUCUUGUACCGUUUGAAUUUUUUGUUAACAAUAUUAAUUGUUACUUUAAAAAGAAUCUCAGGGCUCCCCGGUGGUGCAGUGGUUAAGCAUCCGCCUGCCAAUGCAGGAGACACGGGUUCGAGCCCUGUUCCGGGAAGAUCCCACAUGCCGCAGAGCAACUAAGCCCGUGCGCCACAACUACUGAGUCUGUGCUCUAGAGCCCGUGAGCCACAACUACCGAAGCCCGCGCUCCUAGAGCCCGUGCUCCGCAACAAGAGAAGCCACCGCAAUGAGAAACCCGGGCACCACAACGAAGAGUAGUCCCUGCACGCCGCAACUAAUGAAAGUGUGCGCACAGCAACAAUAGAGCCAACAUAGCCAAAAAUAAAUAAAUAAAUUUAUAAAAAGAAUCUCACAAGGGAGCAUUGUGUCUUAUGACACAGGUCUCAGGAGAACAGAUCUCAGGUUGACACAUUUCUAUAUUGUGCUCAAAAUUCUCUCUCUAAAAGAUGACAUAUGAGACUGGUUAAUUUAGCAAAAACAAAACAUAGUUUUUGGGAGUUCCCUAGCAGCCUAGUGGUUAGGAUUCUGGGGUUUCACUGCUGUGGCCUGGAUUCAAUCCCUGGUCAGGGAACUGAGAUCCCACAACCUAUGUGACACAACAAAAAAAAAAAAAAAAAAAAAAAAAAAAAAAAAAUAUAUAUAUAUAUAUAUAUAUA